Molecule: ribosomal RNA, 347 nt
Filed under: uncultured bacterium
Lineage: Bacteria
Description: bacterial SSU rRNA
Rfam family: Bacterial small subunit ribosomal RNA
Source: RNAcentral
AAUACCGCAUACGAUCUACGGAUGAAAGCGGGGGAUCGCAAGACCUCGCGCGAUUGGAGCGGCCGAUAUCAGAUUAGGUAGUUGGUGAGGUAAAGGCUCACCAAGCCGACGAUCUGUAGCUGGUCUGAGAGGACGACCAGCCACACUGGGACUGAGACACGGCCCAGACUCCUACGGGAGGCAGCAGUGGGGAAUUUUGGACAAUGGGCGCAAGCCUGAUCCAGCAAUGCCGCGUGCAGGAUGAAGGCCUUCGGGUUGUAAACUGCUUUUGUACGGAACGAAACGGUGAGCUCUAAUACAGUUUGCUAAUGACGGUACCGUAAGAAUAAGCACCGGCUAACUACGUG